CCUACGGGGUGCUGCAGUGGGGGAUAUUGCACAAUGGGGGGAACCCUGAUGCAGCGACGCCGCGUGGGUGAAGAAGCGCCUCGGCGCGUAAAGCCCUGUCAGCAGGGAAGAAAAUGACGGUACCUGAAGAAGAAGCCCCGGCUAACUACGUGCCAGCAGCCGCGGUAAUACGGAGGAUGCGAGCGUUAUCCGGAUUUAUUGGGUUUAAAGGGUGCGUAGGCGGGCUGUUAAGUCAGCGGUCAAAUGUCGGGACUCAACCCCGGCCUGCCGUUGAAACUGGCGGCCUCGAGUGGGCGAGAAGUAUGCGGAAUGCGUGGUGUAGCGGUGAAAUGCAUAGAUAUCACGCAGAACUCCGAUUGCGAAGGCAGCAUACCGGCGCCCGACUGACGCUGAGGCACGAAAGCGUGGGUAUCGAACAGGAUUAGAUACCCCAGUAGUC
This 439-nucleotide ribosomal RNA is filed under the name uncultured bacterium. RNAcentral's name for it is "partial 16S ribosomal RNA". It matches the Rfam family "Bacterial small subunit ribosomal RNA", at positions 338 to 795 of the family's 1533-position model. The record is from RNAcentral.